Molecule: ribosomal RNA, 1463 nt
Filed under: uncultured bacterium
Lineage: Bacteria
Description: bacterial SSU rRNA
Rfam family: Bacterial small subunit ribosomal RNA
Source: RNAcentral
AGAGUUUGAUCAUGGCUCAGGAUGAACGCUGGCGGCGUGCCUAACACAUGCAAGUCGAACGANAAGCCUGUUUUCGGAUAGGUGGAGAGUGGCGCACGGGUGAGUAACACAUGGCUAACCUACCCUUCAGAGGGGGACAACCACUGGAAACGGUGGCUAAUACCCCAUACGCUCGCGAGGAAUAGCAUCUCGUGAGGAAAGGUUUCGGCGCUGAAGGAGGGGGCUGUGGCCCAUCANCUAGUUGGUAGGGUAAAAGCCUACCAAGGCGAAGACGGGUAGGGGGCCUGAGAGGGUGACCCCCCACACGGGCACUGANACACGGGCCCGACUCCUACGGGAGGCAGCAGUGAGGAAUAUUGCCCAAUGGACGCAAGUCUGAGGCANCAACGCCGCGUGCGGGAUGAAGGCCUUCNGGUCGUAAACCGCUUUUCUGUGCGAAGAGGAAGGACGGUANCACAGGAAUAAGUCUCGGCUAACUACNUGCCANCANCCGCGGUAAAACGUAGGAGGCAAGCGUUAUCCGGAUUUACUGGGUGUAAAGCGCGUGCAGGCGGUUUCGUAAGUUGUGCGUGAAAGCGCCCGGCUCAACCGGGCGAGGCCGNGNNNAACUGCNGAACUANGGGCANGUANAGGCGUGUGGAAUUCCNGGUGUAGUGGUGAAAUGCGUAGAGAUCCNNANGGAACACCAGUGGCGAAGGCGACACGCUGGGCCUGAACUGACGCUAAGACGCGAAAGCAUGGGGAGCAAACGGGAUUAGAAACCCCGGUAGUCCAUNCCGUAAACGAUGUGUACUAGGUGUUGCGUGUGUCAAAGCAGGCAGUGCCGCAGCUAACGUGAUAAGUACNCCACCUGGGGACUACGNCCGCAAGGUUAAAACUCAAAGGAAUUGACGGGGGCCCGCACAAGCAGCGGAGCGUGUGGUUUAAUUCGAGGCUACACGAAGAACCUUACCUGGGCUUGACAUGGCGGUGGUAGGGAACCGAAAGGGGACCGNCCUUCGGGAGCCGUCACAGGUGCUGCAUGGCUGUCGUCAGCUCGUGUCGUGAGAUGUUCGGUUAAGUCCGGUAACGAGCGCAACCCUCGCCGUUAGUUACAAGUGUCUAGCGGGACUGCCCGUUGAACGCGGGAGGAAGGUGGGGAUGACGUCAAGUCAGCAUGGCCUUUAUGUNCAGGGCUNCACACACGCUACAAUGGCCGGUACAAUGGGUCGCCAACCCGCGAGGGGGAGCCAAUCCAUCAAANCCGGUCUCAGUUCGGAUUGCAGGCUGCAACUCGCCUGCAUGAAGUCGGAGUUGCUAGUAACCGCAGGUCAGCUAUACUGCGGUGAAUACGUUCCCGGGCCUUGUACACACCGCCCGUCACGUCAUGGGAGCUGGUCAUGCCUGAAGUCGUUGGGUUAACCGUAAGGAGACAGACGCCUAAGGCAGGGCUGGUGACUGGGACGAAGUCGUAACAAGGUAAC